Molecule: ribosomal RNA, 253 nt
Filed under: uncultured bacterium
Lineage: Bacteria
Description: partial 16S ribosomal RNA
Rfam family: Bacterial small subunit ribosomal RNA
Source: RNAcentral
UACGGAGGGGGCUAGCGUUGUUCGGAAUUACUGGGCGUAAAGCGCACGUAGGCGGAUCAGUCAGUUAGGGGUGAAAGCCCAGGGCUCAACCCUGGAACUGCCUUUAAUACUGCUGGUCUGGAGGUCGAGAGAGGUGAGUGGAAUUCCGAGUGUAGAGGUGAAAUUCGUAGAUAUCGGGAGGAACACCAGUGGCGAAGGCGGCGAUCUGGGAAGAUACUGACGCUGAGGUGCGAAAGCGUGGGGAGCAAACAGG